This 497-nucleotide ribosomal RNA is filed under the name uncultured bacterium. Its description in RNAcentral is "partial 16S ribosomal RNA". It matches the Rfam family "Bacterial small subunit ribosomal RNA", at positions 28 to 507 of the family's 1533-position model. The record is from RNAcentral.
GAUGAACGCUGGCGGCGUGCCUAAUACAUGCAAGUCGAGCGAACAGACGAGGAGCUUGCUCCUCUGACGUUAGCGGCGGACGGGUGAGUAACACGUGGAUAACCUACCUAUCAGACUGGGAUAACUUCGGGAAACCGGCGCUAAUACCGGAUAAUAUAUUGAACCGCAUGGUUCAAUAGUGAAAGACGGUUUUGCUGUCACUUAUAGAUGGAUCCGCGCCGCAUUAGCUAGUUGGUAAGGUAACGGCUUACCAAGGCAACGAGGCGUAGCCGACCUGAUAGGGUGAUCGGCCACACUGGAACUGGAACACGGUCCAGACUCCUACGGGAGGCAGCAGUAGGGAAUCUUCCGCAAUGGGCGAAAGCCUGACGGAGCAACGCCGCGUGAGUGAUGAAGGUCUUCGGAUCGUAAAACUCUGUUAUUAGGGAAGAACAAAUGUGUAAGUAACUAUGCACGUCGUGACGGUACCUAAUCAGAAAGCCACGGCUAACUACGUG